Molecule: unclassified non-coding RNA, 279 nt
Filed under: fungal sp.
Lineage: Eukaryota; Fungi
Also listed under: 1 other name
Description: partial internal transcribed spacer region
Rfam family: Eukaryotic small subunit ribosomal RNA (bases 1-46)
Source: RNAcentral
AAGUCGUAACAAGGUAACCGUAGGUGAACCUGCGGUUGGAUCAUUACUAAAUACUUUGACCUGAGGUUGAGCUCAAUUCAUUGAGAUCCCUCAGUGUCAUAAACAUUUUGUGCAUCUAUUGUGUAUUUGGGUUAUCUCUAUCUUUUUCUUUUUGUUAACACAAAAGAGUUGAAGUGAAAAGAUAACCCAACAAUGAAAAUAAACCAUUAUUCUUUUUUUUUGACUGAAAUAAAUUGAAAAAUUUAUAAACAACUUUUGACAACGGAUCUCUUGGCUCUC